This 518-nucleotide long non-coding RNA is filed under the name Arabidopsis lyrata. RNAcentral's name for it is "long non-coding RNA (ALYR_LNC000099)". The record is from RNAcentral. Lineage: Eukaryota; Viridiplantae; Streptophyta; Magnoliopsida; Brassicales; Brassicaceae.
GGAAACCAUCCCCGUUUUUAAAGGUUCAGUCAAUAUGCCUACCAAUCUCGACGGUUUUGGUGAUAGUCACACAAGAAUUCGUGAUCGACAAGCACAUCACCAAUUAAAAGAGGAUUUGAUUGAGCAUUUAUGGGCUAAAUUUGGACAUCUUCCAAAUGAUGAUUAAAGUUUUUAAAUUUUGUAUUAAUUAAAUAAAAUGUUUGUGUGUUUUAAGUAAUAAAUAUGUUUGUUUGUUUUUAUGUUUAAAAUUUAAUUGUUAUUUUUAAUUUAAAAAAAAUGUUUUAUGAAUUACUUAAUUAUAUUAUUAAACUAUUACUAAGAAACAGGUUCUACCAAUAACACCAAAUUUCUAAACUUCAACUCUUACAUUAUUUUAUUAAUAAAACUCCACUAACACACACCCAUCCACUUUUACCAUUGUGGAUAACACCAAGUUUCUAAACUUCAACUCUUACAUUAUUUUAUUAAUAAAACUCCACUAACACACACCCAUCCACUUUUACUAUUGUGGAUGCCCU